Molecule: ribosomal RNA, 481 nt
Filed under: uncultured bacterium
Lineage: Bacteria
Description: partial 16S ribosomal RNA
Rfam family: Bacterial small subunit ribosomal RNA
Source: RNAcentral
AAUCAACGCUGGCGGCGUGCCUAACACAUGCAAGUCGAGCGAGAAAAGGGGAGCAAUCCCCUGAGUACAGCGGCGCACGGGUGAGUAACACGUGGGUAAUCUGCCCUGGAGUGGGGAAUAACACCGGGAAACCGGUGCUAAUACCGCAUACGAUCACAGAGUCUGUGGAUUUUGUGAUGAAAGGAGCAAUCCGCUAUGAGAUGGGCCCGCGGCGCAUUAGCUAGUUGGUGAGGUAACGGCUCACCAAGGCGACGAUGCGUAGCCGACCUGAGAGGGUGAUCGGCCACAUUGGGGCUGAGACACGGCCCAGACUCCUACGGGAGGCAGCAGUGGGGAAUAUUGCACAAUGGGGGAAACCCUGAUGCGGCAACGCCGCGUGAGCGAUGAAGGCCUUCGGGUCGUAAAGCUCUGUCCUCAAGGAAGAUAAUGACGGUACUUGAGGAGGAAGCCCCGGCUAACUACGUGCCAGCAGCCGCAGUAA